AUGCAAGAAAGGGAAAUACAGAGCUUUGAAAACCAGGAACUUGACAUCUGCAGUGGAAGGUCGGCACUGAUCAGUUUUGGAAAAGAUGUGUCAGAGAAACAAGGAAUUUACAGAGGAAAAGGAGGAAAACAGAUCCAAGUCUGGAAAUUGUCUCCACAAAACAGGCACUUUCUUUUUUUUUAAAUGAUUUAAAUAAAAGCAAAGUAACAUUCCGGAGUCA
Molecule: long non-coding RNA, 220 nt
Filed under: Struthio camelus australis
Lineage: Eukaryota; Metazoa; Chordata; Aves; Struthioniformes; Struthionidae
Description: lncRNA (ENSSCUG00000008112.1)
Source: RNAcentral